RNAcentral lists this ribosomal RNA (425 nucleotides) under uncultured bacterium. RNAcentral's name for it is "partial 16S ribosomal RNA". It matches the Rfam family "Bacterial small subunit ribosomal RNA", at positions 354 to 796 of the family's 1533-position model. The record is from RNAcentral.
GUGGGGAAUAUUGGGCAAUGGGCGAAAGCCUGACCCAGCAACGCCGCGUGAAGGAAGAAGGUUUUCGGAUCGUAAACUUCUAUCCUUGGUGAAGAUAAUGACGGUAGCCGAGAAGGAAGCCCCGGCUAACUACGUGCCAGCAGCCGCGGUAAUACGUAGGGGGCAAGCGUUGUCCGGAAUGAUUGGGCGUAAAGGGCGCGUAGGCGGCCCGGUAAGUCUGAAGUGAAAGUCCUGCUUUUAAGGUGGGAAUUGCUUUGGAUACUGUCGGGCUUGAGUGCAGGAGAGGUAAGCGGAAUUCCCGGUGUAGCGGUGAAAUGCGUAGAGAUCGGGAGGAACACCAGUGGCGAAGGCGGCUUACUGGACUGUAACUGACGCUGAGGCGCGAAAGUGUGGGGAGCAAAAGGGAUUAGAAACCCGGGUAGUCC